GGUGGUGUAGUUCAGUGGUAGAAUACUUGUCUACCAGACAGGAAGCCCUGGGCUCCAGCCCUAACACCACAC
This 72-nucleotide transfer RNA is filed under the name Fukomys damarensis (Damara mole-rat). It matches the Rfam family "tRNA". From Rfam's summary of the family: Transfer RNA (tRNA) molecules are approximately 80 nucleotides in length. Their secondary structure includes four short double-helical elements and three loops (D, anti-codon, and T loops). The record is from Rfam by way of RNAcentral. Lineage: Eukaryota; Metazoa; Chordata; Mammalia; Rodentia; Bathyergidae.